Molecule: small RNA, 159 nt
Filed under: pig gut metagenome
Description: Clostridiales-1 RNA
Rfam family: Clostridiales-1 RNA
Source: RNAcentral
GAUUACAGUGUCAAAAGGUAUUCUUCACGUCAUGCUUGCAUGUAAGUGGAGAUAUACCUUAUUGACACGCCCACACAUGAGCAAGAAGUGGGGCGGGGGCCCCAUAGAUUGCGAAUGCGGGGGCAGGAUUGUGGAAGUGCGUAGCACGAAACAAUCCGU